This 247-nucleotide long non-coding RNA is filed under the name Setaria italica (foxtail millet). RNAcentral describes it as "long non-coding RNA (SITA_LNC004903)". Lineage: Eukaryota; Viridiplantae; Streptophyta; Magnoliopsida; Poales; Poaceae. The record is from RNAcentral.
CGGCGAUGAGAAUGAAGAGCCUGAGUCCCAACAACACCUUGCCGUGGUGGAAGGUUCCGGCGAGGUAUAUAUAAUUCCUAUUGUUUGACGCCACCGUUAAUACUACGUACUAAUUAACGAAUCUUGAACUGUUAGCCUGCUGGAUCGACGAAAGGGCAGAAGACCCGAGGUCGUAGAAAGGUGAUGGAAGGGAGGCUUGUCAUCACGGAAGUGACAGAAGAGGGCAGGCCGGUUGCUCCCAAAAAAG